RNAcentral lists this ribosomal RNA (484 nucleotides) under uncultured bacterium. Its description in RNAcentral is "partial 16S ribosomal RNA". It matches the Rfam family "Bacterial small subunit ribosomal RNA", at positions 30 to 507 of the family's 1533-position model. The record is from RNAcentral.
AUUGAACGCUGGCGGCAGGCUUAACACAUGCAAGUCGAGCGGAUGAAGGGAGCUUGCGUCUGGAUUCCGCGUCGGACGCGUGAGUAAUGCCUAUGAAUCUGCCUGGCUGUGGGGUAUAAUGUCCGCAAAAGGCUGCUACUACUGCAUACUUCCUGAUGCUGCUAGUUGGUGAGCUUCGGACCGUUCGCUCUCAUAUGAGCCUAGGUCGGAUUAGCUAGUUUGUUGGGUGAGGGCCUACCAAGCCGAGUAUCGGUUGAUGGACUGUGAGGAUGGUCGCUCGCCUUGGAACUGGGACACGGUCCAGACGCCUACGGGAGGCAGCAGUGGGGAAUAGUGGGCAAUGGGCGAGAGCCUGAUACAGCCGUGGCGCGUGUGUGAAGAAAGUCUUCGGAUUGUAAAGCACGUUAUGUUGGGGGAAAGGGCAUUAAGUUAAUACGUUGCUGGUUUGACGUUACCAACAGAAUAAGCACCGGCUAACUUCGUG